UGGGGGCACAGUGGCAUAUUAGGGGUUGGAGUGGCAUAUCAUGAGCACAGUGGCAUAUAAGUGUCUAUAAGGCAUAACUGGGGGCACAGUGGCGUAUCAGGGGGCAGAGUGGCAUAUAGGGGGAUAUAAGGCAUAUCUGGGGUAGAAAGUGGCAUAUAGGGAAAUAUAAGGCAUAUCUGGGGGGCAGAGUGGCAAGCCUGGGGUCAGAUAUGCAUUACUGGGGGGCAGGUUGGCAAAUAAGAAAAAUAAAAACAAGAAAUACAUUUUUCUCAAUUAUACUUUUUAUUAAAUAUGAAAACAUA
Molecule: long non-coding RNA, 302 nt
Organism: Spea bombifrons (plains spadefoot toad)
Lineage: Eukaryota; Metazoa; Chordata; Amphibia; Anura; Pelobatidae
Exons: 2
Source: RefSeq, a predicted model, not a curated record